RNAcentral lists this ribosomal RNA (1285 nucleotides) under uncultured Helicobacteraceae bacterium. RNAcentral's name for it is "bacterial SSU rRNA". It matches the Rfam family "Bacterial small subunit ribosomal RNA", at positions 76 to 1391 of the family's 1533-position model. The record is from RNAcentral. Lineage: Bacteria; Pseudomonadati; Campylobacterota; Epsilonproteobacteria; Campylobacterales; Helicobacteraceae.
GAGCUUGCUUUUGUGGAUUAGUGGCGCACGGGUGAGUAAUACAUAGAUUAUAUGCCCCUUAGUCUAGAAUAGCCACUGGAAACGGUGAUUAAUACUAGAUACUCCCUCCGGGGGAAAGUUUUUUCGCUAAGGGAUCAGUCUAUGUCCUAUCAGCUUGAUGGUGAGGUAAGAGCUCACCUUGGCUAUGACGGGUAGUUGGUCUGAGAGGAUGAUCAGCCACACUGGAACUGAGACACGGUCCAGACUCCUACGGGAGGCAGCAGUAAAGAAUAUUGCACAAUGGGGGAAACCCUGAUGCAGCAACACCGCGUGGAGGAUGACGGCUUUCGAGUUGUAAACUCCUUUUCUACAAGAAGAUAAUGACGGUACUGUAGGAAUAAGCACCGGCUAACUCCGUGCCAGCAGCCGCGGUAAUACGGAGGGUGCAAGCGUUACUCGGAAUCACUGGGCGUAAAGCGUGCGCAGGUGGAACAUUAAGUCAGAUGUGAAAUCCUAUAGCUUAACUAUAGAACUGCAUUUGAAACUGGUGAUCUUGAGUGUGGGAGAGGUAGGUGGAAUUCUUGGUGUAGGGGUAAAAUCCGUAGAGAUCAAGAAGAAUACCUAUUGCGAAGGCGACCUACUGGAACACUACUGACACUGAGGCACGAAAGCGUGGGUAGCAAACAGGAUUAGAUACCCUGGUAGUCCACGCCCUAAACGAUGGAUGCUAGUCGUUGGAAUGCUUAGUCAUUUCAGUGAUGCAGCUAACGCAUUAAGCAUCCCGCCUGGGGAGUACGAUCGCAAGAUUAAAACUCAAAGGAAUAGACGGGGACCCGCACAAGCGGUGGAGCAUGUGGUUUAAUUCGAAGAUACGCGAAGAACCUUACCCGGUCUUGACAUCCUUGAAAUCUUUAAGAAAUUAGAGAGUGCCUGCUUGCAGGAAUCAAGUGACAGGUGUUGCACGGCUGUCGUCAGCUCGUGUCGUGAGAUGUUGGGUUAAGUCCCGCAACGAGCGCAACCCUUAUCCUUAGUUACUAACAGUUCGGCUGAGAACUCUAGGGAGACUGCCAGAGCAAUCUGGAGGAAGGUGAGGACGACGUCAAGUCAUCAUGACCCUUAUGUCCGGGGCUACACACGUGCUACAAUGGGAAAGACAAAAAGACGCGAUACCGUGAGGUGGAGCAAAUCUCUAAACUUUCUCCCAGUUCGGAUUGUUCUCUGCAACUCGAGAACAUGAAGUUGGAAUCGCUAGUAAUCGUAGAUCAGCUAUGCUACGGUGAAUACGUUCCCGGGUCUUGUACUCACC